This 23-nucleotide non-coding RNA is filed under the name Arabidopsis thaliana (thale cress). The record is from RNAcentral. Lineage: Eukaryota; Viridiplantae; Streptophyta; Magnoliopsida; Brassicales; Brassicaceae.
UAAUUUAGUUUCUGUCCAAUUAU